RNAcentral lists this transfer RNA (92 nucleotides) under Sodiomyces alkalinus F11. It matches the Rfam family "tRNA". Rfam says of the family: Transfer RNA (tRNA) molecules are approximately 80 nucleotides in length. Their secondary structure includes four short double-helical elements and three loops (D, anti-codon, and T loops). Further hydrogen bonds mediate the characteristic L-shaped molecular structure. tRNAs have two regions of fundamental functional importance: the anti-codon, which is responsible for specific mRNA codon recognition, and the 3' end, to which the tRNAs corresponding amino acid is attached (by aminoacyl-tRNA synthetases). tRNAs cope with the degeneracy of the genetic code in two manners: having more than one tRNA (with a specific anti-codon) for a particular amino acid; and 'wobble' base-pairing, i.e. permitting non-standard base-pairing at the 3rd anti-codon position. The record is from Rfam by way of RNAcentral. Lineage: Eukaryota; Fungi; Ascomycota; Sordariomycetes; Glomerellales; Plectosphaerellaceae.
GGUAGCAUGCCAGAGUGGUUAAUGGGUGGGACUUGAAUUUUCAUCACCAUCCCAUGGCUUCGGCCGCGCAGGUUCGAACCCUGCUGCUAUCG